UAGGGAAUCUUCCACAAUGGGCGCAAGCCUGAUGGAGCAACGCCGCGUGAAUGAUGAAGGCCUUCGGGUUGUAAAAUUCUGUCUUCUGUGAAGAACAAGUGUGAGAAGGGAAUGCUCACACCCUGACGGUAACAGAGGAGGAAGCCCCGGCUAACUACGUGCCAGCAGCCGCGGUAAUACGUAGGGGGCGAGCGUUGUCCGGAAUCACUGGGCGUAAAGCGCGCGCAGGCGGCCAUCUACGUCUGGGGUGAAAGCCCAAGGCUCAACCUUGGGAGUGCCUUGGAUACGGGAUGGCGUGAGGAUCGGAGAGGAAAGGGGAAUUCCACGUGGAGCGGUGAAAUGCGUAGAGAUGUGGAGGAACACCCGUGGCGAAGGCGCCUUGCUGGCCGAUUUCUGACGCUGAGGCGCGAAAGCCAGGGGAGCGAACC
This 428-nucleotide ribosomal RNA is filed under the name uncultured prokaryote. Its description in RNAcentral is "bacterial SSU rRNA". It matches the Rfam family "Bacterial small subunit ribosomal RNA", at positions 355 to 774 of the family's 1533-position model. The record is from RNAcentral.